CCUACGGGCGGCAGCAGUUAUUAAUAUUUUUCAAUUUUCUUACUCCUGAACCCGCCCCGUCGCGUGAGGGAAGACUGCCCUAUGGAUUGUAAACCUCUUUUGUCAGGGAGCAACGCCGGCUACGUGUAGCCGGACUGAGAGUACCUGAAGAAAAAGCAUCGGCUAACUCCGUGCCAGCAGCCGCGGUAAUACGGAGGAUGCGAGCGUUAUCCGGAUUUAUUGGGUUUAAAGGGUGCGUAGGCGGCAUGCCAAGUCAGCGGUAAAAUCGCGGGGCUCAACCUCGCUCCGCCGUUGAAACUGGCGGUCUUGAGUGGGCGAGAAGUAUGCGGAAUGCGUGGUGUAGCGGUGAAAUGCAUAGAUAUCACGCAGAACUCCGAUUGCGAAGGCAGCAUACCGGCGCCCAACUGACGCUGAAGCACGAAAGCGUGGGUAUCGAACAGGAUUAGAUACCCUAGUAGUC
Molecule: ribosomal RNA, 460 nt
Filed under: uncultured bacterium
Lineage: Bacteria
Description: partial 16S ribosomal RNA
Rfam family: Bacterial small subunit ribosomal RNA
Source: RNAcentral